This 253-nucleotide ribosomal RNA is filed under the name uncultured bacterium. RNAcentral describes it as "partial 16S ribosomal RNA". It matches the Rfam family "Bacterial small subunit ribosomal RNA", at positions 524 to 776 of the family's 1533-position model. The record is from RNAcentral.
UACGUAGGUGGCAAGCGUUGUCCGGAUUUACUGGGCGUAAAGAGCGCGCAGGCGGUUGGAUAAGUCGAAUGUGAAAGCCCCCGGCUCAACUGGGGAGGGUCAUUCGAUACUGUCCGACUCGAAGGCAGGAGAGGGAAGCGGAAUUCCCGGUGUAGUGGUGAAAUGCGUAGAUAUCGGGAGGAACACCAGUGGCGAAGGCGACUACCUGGCCUGUUCUUGACGCUGAGGCGCGAAAGCUAGGGGAGCAAACGGG